AAUGAUUAUUAUCCAAACUUUAAAUAGAAUGAUUCAGUUGAAGUCAAUUAGAAAUAUGAAGAAAGUUUAGUUAGUGGAAAUAAAAUGCAACUAUGAGAUGGCAAUAAUGUUGUGAAAAUAGUUAAAUUAUAUUUAGUAACUAAAAGUGAAAGAAGAAUUAAGAAAUACAUUAAUUAAGUGAUGAAGAUUGAAUGAUGACAUCUAUAGACAAAAAGUUGCUGAUUUAUAAAUAAUUGAAAAUACUUAGUGAAAUAUGAUUUUUCAUACAAAUGACAAAAGAGUAUUCCGAAGAGAACGAACAGUUGCAAAUAAGAAGUCAAUAACAGUUUGGAGACAACUUCAUCACAUACUUUAACUGUUCUGUGCAAAGUAGGACCUUUCCAAUUAUCAUGAAGGAUUAUAUAAGAUCUAUGAGGGAUGAGCGAGAUGAAUGAGAUUUGAGGAUUACAAAAAUUUGACUAAUAAAUGCAUAGAUACAAGAAUUAUAAAAUGCAUGAAUGAAUGGAAACUAGGAUUUAGAUGAAAGGAUUACAAGUUUGGAAACACACGCUCAGGUCAUGUAUACUUACACAAACUUUAUAUGAUCGGUAAGUUAUCAUUUCAUUUCACUGUUUAAUCAAUGUUUCUUUAUUUUAAGUGUAGUUAGUACAUAUGUAAAUUAUUGUUAAGUGUGUAACUUAAUACUGGUUGUGUGUGAUUAUGUAACCUUGUUUCUUUUAGUUCAUUAAUUUUGUAUCACUUAAUUUAAUAUAGGCUAUUCAUUUUGUUGUUGCAUAUUCUGUAUAUUCAAGGUUAGGAUUAGCUUUUCCGAUUUAAAGAAAUUCUCCUUGUAAUUUUUUUUUUCGAAGUGAUUCAGAAGUUUAUGAAACGAGCAUAGUAAUUUGUGUGCAAAGUUUAUGCUUAUCGGGUCGUGUUUCAUAGACAGUUCCAGAAAAUUUGCAAAGAGAUACUUGACUUUUUUUUACGAGUUUUCAGUUCCGAUCGUUUCACAUAUAAUUUUGAUAAUUUGAAGCCUUUUGUAAAUUAAUACUCCUCAAAAGACGCGACAAUCAUGUUUCUUCUGGUUUCCCAUUGAAAUUUAUUAUGAAAAAUAUUUUC
Nicrophorus vespilloides is the source of this 1098-nucleotide long non-coding RNA. RefSeq lists it as uncharacterized. The transcript has 4 exons. The record is from RefSeq and is a predicted model, not a curated record. NCBI's taxonomy places the organism in Eukaryota, Metazoa, Arthropoda, Insecta, Coleoptera, Silphidae.